Schistosoma mansoni is the source of this 75-nucleotide microRNA precursor. It matches the Rfam family "mir-3492 microRNA precursor family". The record is from Rfam. NCBI's taxonomy places the organism in Eukaryota, Metazoa, Platyhelminthes, Trematoda, Strigeidida, Schistosomatidae.
AACUUCCGUAUCCGUGCUGAGAUUUCAUCACACCAGACUACAAGGACUGAUGAGACUCCCAAGAUAAGUGUAGCG